This is a long non-coding RNA of Lagopus muta (rock ptarmigan), 773 nucleotides long. RefSeq lists it as uncharacterized. The transcript is spliced from 2 exons. NCBI's taxonomy places the organism in Eukaryota, Metazoa, Chordata, Aves, Galliformes, Phasianidae. The record is from RefSeq and is a predicted model, not a curated record.
CUGCUUCCUGAGAAGGAGUGUUGUGUAGUCAGAGAGCUCCUUCCUCAGUUGGGUUCUGUAGGGACAACACAGGACAUAUGCAAUCCAGGAGGUUCUUGAAAUUCAAGUAACCUUCCUCAAGUAACAGAGGAGGUCAUGAGAAGGGGUGCCCUGCUGAACCUUACACUCACCAGUAACAAACAGUGCUUGUUGAAAGUAGUAAGUUGAAGGCAGCCUUAGCUGCAGUGGCCGUGAAAUGAUGAGCCCAAGAAAGCUAGUUAAUAUUAAAGGAUUGCCUCCGUCAGGAGGUGACCUCAUGAGUGAUGCAUCUUAACAAAGAAAAAAUCAGGCAGAACUUCUAGAACAUCUGCCUACAUGGGAUGAACAAGGGGCCCCUGUCCACACUAAAAUGUGAAUACAGAGACAAUAUCCAAGAAUCCAGGGAUGAAGAUAGGAAAGCUACAGCCCAAAUGGAAUUGAAUUUGAUCAAGGAUGUUAAGAGCAACAAGAUGAGCUCCUGCAAGUACAUCAGUGACAAAAGAAAUACAAAGGAAAAUAUUAACUGGUACCUGAAUGAAGCAGGGGACUUAAUAACAGUGAAAACAGAAAAAUCUGAUGUACUGAAUGCCUUUUAUACCUCAGUCUUCACUUGCAAGACUGGUCUUCAGGAAAUCUGGUUCUUAUAGACCAAGUUAAAAGACUGGAAAUGAGAAGACUGACCCUUGAUCAAGUAGCAGACUACUAAAGCGAACUGAUUUUCAUGAAAUUCUCAUGUUGUAUGGGUGUUUUUUUUU